UGAAAAGCGAUGACGGGAAUAAGUACCCUGAACGGUUCUGCCCAGAGAGGCCCCGGUUGGUGCAAGGGGCGUGCAGAACAGCAGGCGAAAUACCUCCCGGAGCUGCAGGCUGAACGAAUUUUCCAGUAGGCUGUGCCGCGUGCGAGCGUUACAAACGCAGGAGUGUCCUCCGUCUCUGAGGAGUGCACUCGUGAGGCCGUUUCCGUGAGGGAGCGGCAAACAGAGGUGGUACCGCGAUUUUUCUCGCCCUCUGC
Molecule: regulatory RNA element, 254 nt
Organism: Faecalibacterium sp. CAG:82
Lineage: Bacteria; Bacillati; Bacillota; Clostridia; Eubacteriales; Oscillospiraceae
Rfam family: T-box leader
About the family: Uncharged tRNA acts as the effector for transcription antitermination of genes in the T-box leader family. T-boxes are found upstream of many aminoacyl-tRNA synthetase genes and some amino acid biosynthetic genes usually in Gram-positive bacteria.
Source: Rfam